Molecule: unclassified non-coding RNA, 209 nt
Filed under: soil metagenome
Description: partial contains 5.8S ribosomal RNA, internal transcribed spacer 2, and large subunit ribosomal RNA
Source: RNAcentral
AACCUAGCACACCUGCGGUGUGUACCUGCGGAGGGAUCAUUACCGAGUUUACAACUCCCAAACCCCUGUGAACAUACCACUUGUUGCCUCGGCGGAUCAGCCCGCUCCCGGUAAAACGGGACGGCCCGCCAGAGGACCCCUAAACUCUGUUUCUAUAUGUAACUUCUGAGUAAAACCAUAAAUAAAUCAAAACUUUUAACAAUGGAUCU